UUCUUUUCUCUACAGGUUGACCGGAGCCGAAUCACCAAAACACGAACCUCGCCGGAGAGCCGUCGCACCCGAGAGCGCCGCCGCCGGUAAGCUCCGUUUUUCCGUGAUUUUUUGGCCCCCCGAGGGCCCUAGGGCUGUUUUCUCACAGGGGCCGAUGCGAGUAUGGCCGAAUUCGGCCAAAAACGGCCGAAAACAGCCAACCCGAGGCGACUCGCCGCCGCCAGCGGCGGCGCUGUCGCCGGAGCACGGCGGAGCCGCCGUGCCGGAGUUGCGAUUUGGGCCGAAAGAGGCCCUGGGCCUAAUUUGGGUUUUUUUUGGAACACGUGCAGGUACCGUUAGUGUGUUUCAGUUUCCCCGGAAAAAAUUCAGGGAAAAUUAGGGACGGCCUGUAGGCGCACUGUGAAUCGUAUUUGGAUCCUGAAAACAAGUAAGGACCCCUCACCCUAUUUCCUAUCACGGUAUUAAAGUUCAAAAUGAUAAAACGGUAUUUCUUGAAUUAACGCAUGUGUGAAAUUGCUUAAGGUUGCUAAUGGAGCCCUAGUCUAGUGUGAUUGAUGAUUUACU
This 564-nucleotide long non-coding RNA is filed under the name Carica papaya (papaya). Its description in RNAcentral is "long non-coding RNA (CPAP_LNC002472)". Lineage: Eukaryota; Viridiplantae; Streptophyta; Magnoliopsida; Brassicales; Caricaceae. The record is from RNAcentral.